This 252-nucleotide ribosomal RNA is filed under the name uncultured bacterium. RNAcentral describes it as "partial 16S ribosomal RNA". It matches the Rfam family "Bacterial small subunit ribosomal RNA", at positions 524 to 776 of the family's 1533-position model. The record is from RNAcentral.
UACGGGGGGGCAAGCGUUGUUCGGAAUUACUGGGCGUAAAGGGCUCGUAGGCGGCCAACUAAGUCAGACGUGAAAUCCCCAGGCUCAACCUGGGAACUGCGUCUGAUACUGGAUGGCUUGAAUCCGGGAGAGGGAUGCAGAAUUCCAGGUGUAGCGGUGAAAUGCGUAGAUAUCUGGAGGAAUACCGGUGGCGAAGGCGGCAUCCUGGACCGGCAUUGACGCUGAGGAGCGAAAGCUAGGGGAGCAAACGGG